Molecule: transfer RNA, 67 nt
Filed under: Stereomastis sculpta
Lineage: Eukaryota; Metazoa; Arthropoda; Malacostraca; Decapoda; Crangonidae
Description: tRNA-Asn
Source: RNAcentral
UUGAUUAGAAGCCAAAAAGAGGCUUAUUAUUGUUAAUAAUAAAACUGAACAAUAAGUUCCUAUCAAG